GGCAAGGCAAAAGCCUUUUAGAAGGGAAUAGGUGCCACUUUUAUAGGGUUUCUAGAAACAAUGUGUUUUGUGGCUGAUUUGGGACUUCUAGAAGAGAAUGCUUCUAGAAAUAGGUUCUAGAAAUAUAUAUUUAGGUCCCCUUGCAGCUAGGAUUAAGGCAUGAUAAGAUUAGAAUAGGAUAAGAUAAGGUUAGUUUGGAUAAGAUAAGGUUGUAUAAGGUUUUGGAUAUGUUUCCUCUUUUGAGUUGAUUCCUUAUCUUCUUUGUCUUGAAUUUAAUUUCUUCAUCUUCUUAUCAUAUUCCUAGCCUUUUGAACUACAAAUUCGUCCAUUCCUUUUGCUCCAAGCAUGUGCUAUUCAUUCCAAGCCCAAUUUUGCUCCAAAAAGCUCCAAAAUGCAC
RNAcentral lists this long non-coding RNA (397 nucleotides) under Malus domestica (apple). Its description in RNAcentral is "long non-coding RNA (MDOM_LNC017921)". Lineage: Eukaryota; Viridiplantae; Streptophyta; Magnoliopsida; Rosales; Rosaceae. The record is from RNAcentral.